GAUGAACGCUGGCGGCGUGCCUAAUACAUGCCAGUCGAGCGAACAGAUAAGGAGCUUGCUCCUUUGACGUUAGCGGCGGACGGGUGAGUAACACGUGGGUAACCUACCUAUAAGACUGGGAUAACUUUGGGAAACCGGAGCUAAUACCGGAUAACAUUUGGAACCGCAUGGUUCUAAAGUGAAAGAUGGUUUUGCUAUCACUUAUAGAUGGACCCGCGCCGUAUUAGCUAGUUGGUAAGGUAACGGCUUACCAAGGCGACGAUACGUAGCCGACCUGAGAGGGUGAUCGGCCACACUGGAACUGAGACACGGUCCAGACUCCUACGGGAGGCAGCAGUAGGGAAUCUUCCGCAAUGGGCGAAAGCCUGACGGAGCAACGCCGCGUGAGUGAUGAAGGGUUUCGGCUCGUAAAACUCUGUUAUUAGGGAAGAACAAAUGUGUAAGUAAUUGUGCACGUCUUGACGGUACCUAAUCAGAAAGCCACGGCUAACUACGUG
This 497-nucleotide ribosomal RNA is filed under the name uncultured bacterium. Its description in RNAcentral is "partial 16S ribosomal RNA". It matches the Rfam family "Bacterial small subunit ribosomal RNA", at positions 28 to 507 of the family's 1533-position model. The record is from RNAcentral.